ACGGAAGGCAGCAGUGGGGAAUAUUGCACAAUGGGGGGAACCCUGAUGCAGCAACGCCACGUGUGGGAAGAAGCAUUUCGGUGUGUAAACCACUGUCGUGAGGGAAUAAGGCAUUGUUUCGGCGAUGUUGAAUGUACCUCGAAAGGAAGCACCGGCAAACUUCGUGCCAGCAGCCGCGGUAAUACGAGGGGUGCAAGCGUUGUUCGGAAUCACUGGGCGUAAAGGGAGCGCAGGCGGAGAUGCAAGCAGUCUGUACAAUGCCGGGGCCCAACCCCGGACCUGCAGACUGGACUGUUUCUCUUGGAUAGUUCAGGGGCAAGCGGAAUUCCCGGUGUAGCGGUGGAAUGCGUAGAGAUCAGGAGGAACACCGAUGGCGAAGGCAGCUUGCUGGGGACUUAUCGACGCUCAUGCUCGAAAGUGCGGGUAGCAAACAGGAUUAGAUACCCUGGUA
Molecule: ribosomal RNA, 451 nt
Filed under: uncultured Fibrobacter sp.
Lineage: Bacteria; Pseudomonadati; Fibrobacterota; Fibrobacteria; Fibrobacterales; Fibrobacteraceae
Description: partial 16S ribosomal RNA
Rfam family: Bacterial small subunit ribosomal RNA
Source: RNAcentral